AUUGAUUUCAUUUUUGUCUCAAAACUAAUGUCUGUUUCUAAUUUCAGACGGAGGAGGUUACCGUUCACGGAUCAUGCCUGGAUUGAGUGUGUGGUAAAAGGUGGUGGUCUAAGUGUCUGGCAAGAAUUAUCAGGCAGAUCUUUGUUUUCUUAUGGAAUUCAAGGAUGGAGAAAUUGAGUCGUGGGAAGGUGGUGAAAAGCAGAAUGCAUGGUGGGAAAGGAAUGAUGAAUGUGGAAGUGUUCCUGGCUGUGAAGUAUGUCAGUUUUUGUCUCGCUAUUAUAUCCUGAUAUGAAGGGACAGUUGGAGGGACAGAAUCCGCUGCAAUUUAUUUUUUCUGAGGGAAAGUCAUGAAGGGAAAGCUUUUUGUUAUAUGUACAUGUAAAGACAUGAUUCCUGUAUAUAUUGUAUAUGUCAAAUAUGUGUUAUUCAUGUGUUUUCAGAUGAAUAUGUAA
Molecule: long non-coding RNA, 452 nt
Organism: Hyla sarda
Lineage: Eukaryota; Metazoa; Chordata; Amphibia; Anura; Hylidae
Exons: 3
Source: RefSeq, a predicted model, not a curated record